GCUGGUUGAUCCUGCCAGUAGCAAAUGCUUGUCUCAAGGAUCAAGCCAUGAACGUGUAAGUACACAUGGCUGGCACAGCGAAACUGUGAAUGACUCAUCAAAUCAGUAAUGGUACCUUAGUUCAUUCCAUCUGUCACUUGGAUAAUUGAGGUAAUUCCCGGAACAAUACAUAACGAUGAGCGCUGACCUCCUGGGAUGCGUGCAUCAAUCAGACAAGAUCCAAAAGGGCUUGCCUGGCUGCUAUGGUGACUCUAGACAACAUGGGGGUGAUUUCACAUCCCUGUGAUGGUGACGAUACAGUUGGAUAUCUGCCCUAUCAACUUUCAAUUGUAGAGUCUGUCUCUACCAUGGUGACCAUGGGUAAUGGGGAAUCAUGAUUUGAUACUUUAGAGGGAUCCUGAGAAACAGGUACCACAUUCAAGGAAAUAAGCAGGUGCAUAAAUUACCCAAUCCUGACUCGGGGAUAGAGUACAAAAAAAAACAAUACAGGACUCUUAUGAGGCUGAGUAAUUGCAAUGAGUGCACUUUAAAUUCAUUAACAAGGAUCCAUUAGAGGGCAUGUCUGGUGCCAGUAUCUGCCAUAAUUCCAGCUCAAAAAGCAUAUCUGAAAUGGGUUGCAGUUAAGAUGCAUGUAGUUGGAUUGAGGGAUCAAGCUGGUGGUGUGCUACGAAGUGAGCAACUGUAUGUCCCAGCCCCUGCCUCUCAGUGCACCCUUGAAGCACUUGAGUGUCCUGGGGUCCAAAGCGUUGACUAUAUCAGAGUGUUCAAAGCCACCCAGUUACCUGAAUACCUCAGCCACGAUUAAUUGAAUAUGACAUUGCUUAUAUUGUAUUGGUUGUUGGAACUGUGCCCAUGAUGAAGAGAGACACCUGGGGGCCUUCCUUAUGUGCCACUAGAGUUGUGACUCUUGGAAUGAGACAAGAUGAUCCAAAGGGAAAGCAUUCGCCAAGAAUGUCUUCUUCAAUCCAGUAUGAAAGUCUGAGGUUUGAAGAUGAUCAGAUACUGUCAUAGCUCCAACCAUUAAUGAUGCUGACUGGCGUUUUGGUAGCGUUAUUCCCAUUACCUGCUGAGUGUCUUCUGGGAAAGCAUAGUCUCAGAGUUCCAGGGUGAGGAUGCUUUCAAAGCAGAAACAUAAAGGAAUUGACUCCAGGAGUGGAGCCUGUGGUUUGAAUUGACUCAGCAUGGGAAACUUCACCCGGCCUGGACAUGGAAAGGAUUUUCAGAUUGAUGGCUCUGUUUCCAUUCUGUGUGUGUAGAUUCAUGGCUGUUCUUAGUUGGCCAGAGCGAUUUGUGAGGUCAAUUCUGAUAAUGAAUGAGACUCCACCAUGCCAACUAGUCCUGUGACCCCCAGUGGUUGGUGUUGAACUCCCUAGAAGGACAAGUUGUGUUCCGCUACACGAGAUCAAGCAAGAACACAUCUGUGAUGCCCUUAGAUGUCUGUGGAUGCAUGUGUGCCACACUGAAUGGAUCACUGUGUGUCUUCUCUUUGCCGACACAUGCAGGUAACCUGUUGAACACGGUGUGUGAUAGGGAUUGGGGAUAUCAAUCUAUUCACAUGAAUGAGGAAUUCCCAGCAAGUGUGUCGUAAACUUGCAUUGAUGAAGUUCAUGCACUUCUACAUACUGACUGUUUCCACUACUGAUUGGAUGGUUGAAAGAGGUAAUCAGAUUGCCCCCCACCGGGGUCAGCAGCGUCCCUGGUGGUGCACAGAGUAGACAAUCAAACACGACUAUCUAGAGGGAGUAAGUCAAAACAAGGUUCCUGUAGGUGAACCUGCAGAAG
This 1782-nucleotide ribosomal RNA is filed under the name Ambystoma mexicanum (axolotl). RNAcentral's name for it is "SSU rRNA". It matches the Rfam family "Eukaryotic small subunit ribosomal RNA". Lineage: Eukaryota; Metazoa; Chordata; Amphibia; Caudata; Ambystomatidae. The record is from RNAcentral.